This is a long non-coding RNA of Zingiber officinale, 384 nucleotides long. RefSeq lists it as uncharacterized. The record is from RefSeq and is a predicted model, not a curated record. NCBI's taxonomy places the organism in Eukaryota, Viridiplantae, Streptophyta, Magnoliopsida, Zingiberales, Zingiberaceae. The transcript is spliced from 3 exons.
GUUCGAAGCCGUCCGGCGCCUCCUGCGAAUCCGUGGACGAAUCCUGGGACAACGGUGGUUACGAGUUUCUCGACUACGAAAAAGAAGAGGAAGAGGAGAAGACCCCCGAUUCAUCUUUUUUCUGAUGCCAAUUCUUCCCCUUCGCUUUGAUUUCAUCGCAGACGCUUCCUCUCGGGCUUGAAUCAUCGGAUUCCUAUCUUCAUGGACGGGUGAAGCCAGGGACAUGGUUAAGAGGAAGAGGAAGAGGGAGAAGGCCCAUAGGGCACCAUCUACUACGGUUUAUAGUUGUAGGUAAGGAACAUUGAAGAAAAAACCCUACUCAUAGAAAAAGAAGAAAUUACAUUGUUCUGUUUAUAUUUCAAUUCAGAAUUUGCUAAUCUGUAG